This 468-nucleotide ribosomal RNA is filed under the name uncultured bacterium. Its description in RNAcentral is "partial 16S ribosomal RNA". It matches the Rfam family "Bacterial small subunit ribosomal RNA", at positions 28 to 507 of the family's 1533-position model. The record is from RNAcentral.
GACGAACGCUGGCGGCGUGCUUAACACAUGCAAGUCGAACGGAAAGGCCCUGCUUUUGUGGGGUGCUCGAGUGGCGAACGGGUGAGUAACACGUGAGUAACCUGCCCUUGACUUUGGGAUAACUUCAGGAAACUGGGGCUAAUACCGGAUAGGAGCUCCUGCUGCAUGGUGGGGGUUGGAAAGUUUCGGCGGAUGGGGAUGGACUCGCGGCUUAUCAGCUUGUUUGUGGGGUAGUGGCUUACCAAGGCUUUGACGGGUAGCCGGCCUGAGAGGGUGACCGGCCACAGUGGGACUGAGAUAAGGCCCAGACUCCUAAGGGAGGCAGCAGUGGGGAAUAUUGCCCAAUGGGCGGAAGCCUGAUGCAGCAACGCCGCGUGCGGGAUGACGGCCUUCGGGUUGUAAACUGCUUUCGCCUGUGACGAAGCGUGAGUGACGGUAAUGGGUAAAGAAGCACCGGCUAACUACGUG